GACUCCAUUGCCACUCUAAUAUAUAGAAAAGCGAAUGUUGACUUCUAAUUCUUAAACAUGUUAAAUAUAAUGUUUUUAGUGUAGAUUGACUGUGAAAUACUGGGAGGAGUGUAUCUUCUUAUUUGCAAGACAUCUCAUGCAUGAACAGUUUUCAAGAGUUGGUUUUAGCUUUUCUUUUCUUUUUUUGUUUUUUAAUUCAUUUGCACUGACUGGAUUUUAGUGCGUGGGUUUCUUAUUAGCACUGGACUCUUGAGCAGAAAUGGGAAAGGCACUGAUGGUAUGUUUGGUUGGGUAUGCAAAUCCACAUGUUCUUGUCAUAAGUUAUCUGAUGCAAGGUUUUGGUUUUCUGUACUACAUUAUGUGCCAUUUCAUGUUACUAUAUUCUUAACUUCCUGUUUAAGUUUUCUUACUCAUCAGUUGAUGGUGGCAUUCUCUUCCACCACAGUGGCAAUGUUGAUGCCAUUGUUCAGAAAUGGCAAUGUGGAUGGAUGGCAUGAUCUCCACUGUAGCAAUAAGGCAUUACAUAUAGUUGCUAGUAUAUUAUUUAAAUGGAUUUUAAAUAAUCAUCAUGGUGAACCCUGCAAAUUUAAGGUUGCCCGUCUCUCUCCCAACAGUUUCCUUCAUUGUGGCCCACUUGAAUAAUAGGACAGCUUGAUUUUUUGGCCCUAUGGCUCUAGGCCUAACAUGAGAUUACACAUUUGGUGCUGUACUAAUGGAACCUUCAGUUGUCAUGUUAUUGUGAUAGGUGUCCAUGAUGGGCUUUUCAAAUUGGGUUGGUGUUUUCCAAUGCUAGGCCAACCAGAACUUGGGUCUGAACCCAAGUUGCAGCCCUAGACCAAGCAUGCACCUGGGCCCAACACUUCUUCUUUACUUUGUAAUGGGUGCCACUGCUAGCUAACUAUCAUAGUAAUAAAAAAAUCUGCAUAUUUGCAAAUUGCUUUGAAACUGAAAUUCACUCUUUUGGGUCUGUGUAUCUUCUUUCAAUAUGAUUCAGUCCACUCGAUCUAUUUGAUGAUAUAGAUAUACUAAUGCAGAGAAAAUCUUCUUUUCUUUUUUGGUAAAUUGAAAUUCAUUACAUGCCCACUUUAUCAGUUAUAAUAUCUGGACUGCAACAUUUCAGGAUGCAGGGGGAACUUGGUGCAAAUGCUAUAUUAGUUGUGUCAAUUGCUGCUUGUAAAGCUGGUGCUGCUGAAAAGGAGGCAAGUUUUUUUUUUUUUUUUUUUUUUAAUAUGGUUAUUGCCAAGCUGACCUGUUUUUAAAGCCAUGCCCUAGGCGAUUUUUUCCUGUGGUUCAAUUUUCAUUUGCUUCAAUGUUUCUUGAACUUUUUACACUAUUGCUCUUCAAAAAUUUUACUACUUUUUUUUUUUUUUAAUGAAAUACAACUAGGAGUAAUUUCUGGCCCCUAAGCAGAAUCCUCUCCCCAAAGUUAGAGCCAAACUUAAUGGAAAAGGAAGAUGAGGAUGAAGCGAGAGCCACCCUAAGACACCAUGUGCAUCCCCUGUUUUGGCAGUCUACUACGAAUACUGUGCCCAGGUGAUCUUAUACACUCAAAAUGUCUGAAAGGUGUGUCUGACAUGGUUACUUCUCAUACAGCAUUUCUUACUGUGGUGUUUCUUCUAAAGUUAGUUUAGAGUGUAUUAUUUUAUUUAGUUCAUAAUAGAUACAUCUGAUUGAGAUGCUUUUGUCUGUUGCAUCUUCUAUUGUAGAAUCCAAACACGUGCAAAUGCUGUUUCCACCUCAAUGUCUUCAAGCUGUUGCUGUUAUAGGGACGACUGUCUUUCUCGUCUCUGGUCGGUGGGUUUCUUUCUUUAUUUCUGUUUCUUCUUUUUUUUUG
RNA transcript from Magnolia sinica, 1834 nucleotides. RefSeq lists it as uncharacterized. The record is from RefSeq and is a predicted model, not a curated record. The transcript is spliced from 3 exons. NCBI's taxonomy places the organism in Eukaryota, Viridiplantae, Streptophyta, Magnoliopsida, Magnoliales, Magnoliaceae.